ACAAUCCUUCCUGCACAGACCGGUCCUGGGUGGCCUUGCCUGCUAGCAAAGCACCCGCUGUGCAUCGUUCUCGCCUGUGAGCACCCAGAGGAAGUUCACCGCCACCUUCCCCUUCUACCACCUAUGAGAAAAGGCCACCCUCUCUUGGAUUUGAUCCCAGAGCUCUGGGUCGAAGGCAGGGACUUCCUAUCUCUGGAGCUGUAACUCAAAGUGAAAUGGAUGCUGGCCUCUGCAGAAAGUGUAGUAUGGGACUCAUUGAUCCAUCGAGC
Molecule: long non-coding RNA, 269 nt
Filed under: Homo sapiens (human)
Lineage: Eukaryota; Metazoa; Chordata; Mammalia; Primates; Hominidae
Description: non-protein coding lnc-UBE2V2-5:1
Source: RNAcentral